ACUCAUACUCGGAUAUGAUAUCAUGCCCAGCGAAAGAGAAAGAAAGCAAGCAAAAAAGUCCCAUUUAUUUUCUUCUAGAGUCAUUUUUUUUCAUUUCUUUUACGUGCCUGUU
RNAcentral lists this non-coding RNA (112 nucleotides) under Odontella aurita. The record is from RNAcentral. Lineage: Eukaryota; Bacillariophyta; Thalassiosirophyceae; Eupodiscales; Odontellaceae.